RNAcentral lists this ribosomal RNA (473 nucleotides) under uncultured bacterium. RNAcentral's name for it is "bacterial SSU rRNA". It matches the Rfam family "Bacterial small subunit ribosomal RNA", at positions 355 to 825 of the family's 1533-position model. The record is from RNAcentral.
UGGGGAAUUGUUCACAAUGGGCGCAAGCCUGAUGACGCAACGCCGCGUGGGGGAUGAAGGUCUUCGGAUCGUAAACCCCUGUCGAAUGGGACGAAUAGCCCGCGAAUUAAUACCUCGUGGGAAUGACGGUACCGUUAAAGGAAGCCACGGCUAACUCUGUGCCAGCAGCCGCGGUAAUACAGAGGUGGCAAGCGUUGUUCGGAAUUACUGGGCGUAAAGGGCGCGUAGGCGGCCAUCUAAGUCAGACGUGAAAUCCCCCGGCUCAACCUGGGAACUGCGUCUGAUACUGGGAGGCUAGAGUUUGGGAGAGGGAUGUAGAAUUCCAGGUGUAGCGGUGAAAUGCGUAGAUAUCUGGAGGAAUACCGGUGGCGAAGGCGGCAUCCUGGACCAAUACUGACGCUGAGGCGCGAAAGCUAGGGGAGCAAACGGGAUUAGAUACCCCCGUAGUCCCUGAGCGGGCUGGCAAGGCGCAU